This 2015-nucleotide ribosomal RNA is filed under the name wastewater metagenome. Its description in RNAcentral is "bacterial LSU rRNA". It matches the Rfam family "Bacterial large subunit ribosomal RNA", at positions 296 to 2303 of the family's 2925-position model. The record is from RNAcentral.
UGCGGGACCUCGAUGUGAGUUUUGAAUGUUAAGCAGAAUGGUCUGGAAAGGCCAGUGAAACAAGGUGAUAGCCCUGUAAGCGGCGACAGUCAAAAUUCUAGAGGUAUCCCAAGUACCACCGUGCACGUGAAACGCGGUGGGAAUCCGGGAGGACCACCUUCCAAGGCUAAAUAUCUUCUGGUGACCGAUAGUGGACAAGUACAGUGAUGGAAAGGUGAAAAGAACCCCGAGAGGGGAGUGAAAUAGAACCUGAAACCGUAUAUUUACAAGCAGUAGUAGCACUUUAUAUGUGCGACUGCGUACCUCUUUCAUAAUGAGUCAGCGAGUUAUUUUUGCAGGCAAGGUUAAACCGUUAGGUGGAGCCGUAGCGAAAGCGAGUCUGAAUAGGGCGAUUAGUCUGUAGGAAUAGACCCGAAACCCGGUGAUCUAACCAUGGCCAGGCUGAAGCGAGGGUAACACCUCGUGGAGGGCCGAACUAGUUAGGGUUGAAAACCUUUUGGAUGAGCUGUGGUUAGGGGUGAAAGGCCAAUCAAACCGGGUGAUAGCUGGUUCUCCUCGAAAUAUAUUUAGGUAUAGCCUCGGAUAAAUUGUAUCACGGAGGUAGAGCACCGAAUGGGCUAGGGGUCUUUACCAGAUUACCAAACCCAACCGAACUCCGAAUACCGUUGAUAUGUACUCCGGGAGGCAGUCACGGGGUGAUAAGGUCACGUGACGAAAGGGAAAGAACCCAGACCACCGGCUAAGGUCCCCAAAUACACACUAAGUGGUAAACGUUGUGGAGCUACUUUGACAACUAGGAGGUUGGCUUAGAAGCAGCAAUCCUUUAAAGAAAGCGUAAUAGCUCACUAGUCUAGUGGCUCUGCGCGGAAGAUAUAACGGGGCUAAGUGUGUUACCGAAGCUGUGGCUUUGUUGUAAAACAGAGGGUAGGGGAGCGUUCUGGCGUAGGAUGAAGGUUGACCGAUAGGACAGCUGGACGAACCAGAAGUGAUCAUGCUGACAUAAGUAGCGUUGAACUCGAGUGAAAAACUCGAGCGCCGAAAACUCAAGGUUUCCUGGGCAAGGAUAAUCCUCCCAGGGUUAGUCGAGACCUAAGGCGAGGCCAAUUGGCGUAGCCGAUGGACAAAAGGUUAAUAUUCCUUUACCAGUUCUAUUGUAAGUACAGGGGUGACGGAGUAGACAAUCUCAGCCUGUUAUUGGAUUCAGGUGUAAGCGUCAAAGAGGUAUUAUUGGUAAAUCCGUAAUACAUAACUCUGCAGCGUGAAUGCGUGAAGUUUUAUAACUUCUGAAGUGAGAUGAGUCAUGCUUCCAAGAAAAACCUCGGUAUGUUUUUAGAAUUGCUCGUACCGUAAACCGACUCAGGUGAGUGGGGUGAAUAUCCUAAGGCGAUGGGGUGAACUGUGGUUAAGGAACUCGGCAACUUAACACCGUAACUUCGGGAAAAGGUGUGCCGUCGGCUGCGUAGGGUUUGCCUGAAGCAGCUGGCGGUCGCAGAGAAAUGGGAGUAGCGACUGUUUAUCAAAAACACAGGCAUGUGCAAAGUCUCAAGACGACGUAUACGUGCUGACGCCUGCCCGGUGCUGGAAGGUUAAGAGGAUUUGUCAGCCGCAAGGCGAAGCAGAGAAUCGAAGCCCCAGUAAACGGCGGCCGUAACUAUAACGGUCCUAAGGUAGCGAAAUUCCUUGUCGGGUAAGUUCCGACCUGCACGAAUGGCGUAACGACUUCUUCGGUGUCUCAACCACACGCCCCGCGAAAUUGAAUUCUCGGUGAAAAUGCCGGGUACCCGCAGAAAGACGGAAAGACCCCGUGAACCUUUACUGUAGCUUGACAGUGAUUUUAGAGUUUUGAUGUGUAGGAUAGGUGGGAGCCUUUGAAGUUUGGGCGCUAGCUCAGAUGGAGGCAACCUUGAAAUACCACCCUUUAGAACUUUGAAAUCUAACUUGCCCCUUAUAUCAAGGGGAAGGACACUGUCUGGUGGGCAGUUUGACUGGGGCGGUCGCCUCCCAAAAAGUAACGG